RNAcentral lists this long non-coding RNA (913 nucleotides) under Ictidomys tridecemlineatus (thirteen-lined ground squirrel). RNAcentral describes it as "lncRNA (ENSSTOG00000032895.1)". The record is from RNAcentral. Lineage: Eukaryota; Metazoa; Chordata; Mammalia; Rodentia; Sciuridae.
AUGGAAGCCAGUGCAGGUUUCAAGGCAUUCUACUGCACCACAGUACUGGAGAAUUUUCUCCAUGUGCUGCCCUGCCUCCAGCCUUCAGAGACUUUCUGCAGUGUAGUAGAUGAAGGCCUGGGAUCUGCACAAGGACUGCUCUCAGCCAUCCUGCCCUACCCUCAGCCUUCUGGGAACCAAGUGGAACACUUCCUGAAAGCCUUUGGGAAAGAGCUGGAGGGUGUGUGCAGAAUCUCUCUGUGCCUGGAUUUCCUUGAUUGUAAUCUGACAUUCCAGCCCACACACAGCCAAUAAAUUAUUGGUAUCUCUCCCUUUCCCCUUACUUAUGGUAUUUUCUCUUUGUCCCACUGUUUUCUAAGAGUUAAAAGUACGAAUAAUUCUCUUCACUUUUGAAAAUUCUCAUUAUUUUUUGAAUGUAAGUUUAUUUCUUUGCAUCCUCAUCCACCUAAUAAGAAUUUUUAAAACUGAGCUUUGUUUUGUUUUUUAAUCUCUUUUUGUUUGUGUCAGUUGAGGUGGAGCAACUAUUUCUUGUAACAUAAUCCUAACUGGACUCUUUUUCUUUUUUAAACUUUAGGAUUUCUGGACCUAAUUCUCCUCCUUUCUGUAAGUGAAGAUCACUUAGGAAAAGAAUGAAAAUAUGAGUUGUCUGUGGACUAUGUUGCACAUAGUAGUCUCCUGAAGGGAUAAGUCUGGCUCUGGGAAUUCCCUGGGGCACUCUGCACAGGGAUUGACCACUUUAUGCAGAUGAACUUUCCCUUUAAGCUCUAAGAUCCCACACAGCACCAGAGAUGGGUGUGACCUGCCAACGUGUCAGUCAACCUGCUGACUGCAAGACCUUACAAAGCAAGACUGGCCCUUGAAACCUUAUCCCUGCCUUUGAUGUAUCUCCUUAAAUAAACCACUGGAGCCAUCU